Molecule: long non-coding RNA, 763 nt
Organism: Camellia sinensis
Lineage: Eukaryota; Viridiplantae; Streptophyta; Magnoliopsida; Ericales; Theaceae
Source: RefSeq, a predicted model, not a curated record
CAGUAGAGUAUUGAAACUGAUAUCAAGUUUAACGGUCCAUAUAUGGUUUUAAUCCAUGAGAAAGAAAACAGAUUCAUUUUAUGAAACAAAAAUUUAUUGAAUUUAAGUAUUUGGUUUCGGCAAUUGUUAAUUGCUUUUGUUGUUGUGUGUUUGCACUCGAAUGUAUGUGGGAGUUUUCAUUGUUUUUUUUAUUCUGGCUGUCUAAUGGUUCAUGGACUUUUUUUGUGGGUUCUAACAACACCUUAUGAUUUACCCUUUGGUGUUUAGGGCAAGAAAAGAAAAGAUAAGAUCUGCAUUGCACUUGCUGAUGACACUCGUGAUCAAUCCUGGAUUAGGAUGAAUAAUGUUGUUAUUACUCCAUUCAAGACGCAAACAAGAAUAUGGCUUGGAGAAGUCCUGCACAAGCGAUUGCAUGACCAGCUGACAAUUUCUGAUUUACUUGCCGAUGGGGAACUGCUUGAAAUCACCACUGAAGGGCGACGAAUAACAAAACUUGACCAAGCGGAUUGUUGACAAAGCUGCUUUUUCCUGAAGGUGAGUUUUUGAAAAUAUUGAUUAUGUUGAUGAUCUGUUUUUGUGGUUUUGUUGUGAAUUGGGUUUGUUUGUGAAACAGAGGGUUGGGUUGUUUCUUUGCAAGGCGCCUACUUGUGUUUAAAAUCUUCUAGGAUCUUGGAUUUUAUGCAAGGUUCUGAAAAGCGGUUGCGGUCGCCGUAUCGGUGGCGGUGACUCGGUUGCGGUUGCGGGGUGUAAAGGCCGUAGCAUA